Molecule: long non-coding RNA, 870 nt
Organism: Schistocerca cancellata (South American locust)
Lineage: Eukaryota; Metazoa; Arthropoda; Insecta; Orthoptera; Acrididae
Exons: 2
Source: RefSeq, a predicted model, not a curated record
UCGUGUUACAUCCUCGUUGCUAUGAUAAGUAUCGAAGGUAGUCCUCCCCGUCGAAGCUUCACAGUCUUCGAGUGGGUCUCUAGUUUCCUUGAACUUCCCAUUGUUGAUCUGCGACUCUGGACUGUAGUAGGACUUCGUACGGAGGACAUGGACAACGCUUCGCGCUUUUAUCUUCUUGAUGAAAGGAAAUACCCUGGGAGCUGUGUCCACUCCUAAAAAAUCGCCAAGACCAUCAGCAGUAUGAAGAACCAUCAGACACCACCCUCCAAUUCAGCACAAGCCAGACGCCUCUUUUUACCAGCCUUCAACUGUUCAGACCACAGAAACCUACGAUAAUAUUUUGAAAACACCUGUUUUACUUAUGUUCUACUUUUUAAAUUUGUAAACAUCAUGCAUGCCUCCAUUUGGAUCAUGUAUAUUCUUAAAUUUACGAUCUUAUCCCUUUUUUGAUCUUAUUUGUGUCUGAAACUCUGACUAUACAGUAGUAUACGUCGUGCUAACACAGUUAUCCCUUCGAUUAAAAAACAAAUUUCAUAAAAUUAUUGUACUACAAAAAGAUAGUUUUUUUGUUGUAUGAAUAUAUGUUAUUGUAAUUUUUCUAUUGUGCUGUUGAGUAAAUGUCUUUUUUUUUCCCCCUCGAUUUAAUGUUCUAAGUUUCAAUCUUAGUUCGAAUAUAUCUUUACUGAUGUACUUUGGAAAGAUGUUUACUGGGUGCAGUUUCCUUGCAUGUUGUGUGUGUGGUGGAAAGGAAGGAAGGAGAAACGUAAAGUUUCUGGAGUUGCAUACAAAUGAAAUGUAUUUCACUGAGUGAACAUUGUAAUUUAUGGUAGCAAGGCAUCUAGGACUAUUAAAUAUGAAAAUUACAUAUGA